AAGGUAGCGAAAUUCCUUGUCGGGUAAGUUCCGACCUGCACGAAUGGCGUAACGACUUCCCCACUGUCUCGACCAGGAGCUCGGCGAAAUUGCAGUACGAGUAAAGAUGCUCGUUAAGCGCAGAAGGACGAAAAGACCCCGGGACCUUUACUAUACCUUGGUAUUGGCAUUCGGUGUGGAUUGUGUAGCAUAGGCGGGAGGCCGAGAGGCGCGGUCGCCAGAUCGCGCGGAGCCGUAAGGUGAAAUACCGCUCUGUUCGCAUUGGAUGUCUAACCUCGAACAGUCAUCCUGUUCAGGGACAGUGCCUGGCGGGUAGUUUAACUGGGGCGGUUGCCUCCCAAAGAGUAACGGAGGCGCCCAAAGGUCCGCUCAGCCCGGUUGGCAAUCGGGUGGCGAGUGCAAGUGCACAAGCGGGCUUGACUGCGAGGACGACGGUCCGAGCAGGGACGAAAGUCGGGACUAGUGAUCCGGUGCCGGUGUACGGACGCGGCAUCGCUCAACGGAUAAAAGGUACCCCGGGGAUAACAGGCUGAUCAUUCCCAAGAGUCCAUAUCGACGGGAUGGUUUGGCACCUCGAUGUCGGCUCGUCGCAUCCUGGGGCUGGAGCAGGUCCCAAGGGUUCGGCUGUUCGCCGAUUAAAGCGGCACGCGAGCUGGGUUCAGAACGUCGUGAGACAGUUUGGUCUCUAUCCUCUGCGCUCGUUGGAAUGCUGAGGAGGCCUGCCCAUAGUACGAGAGGACCUGGGUGGACGAACCUCUGGUAUGCCGGUUGUCACGCCAGUGGCACGGCCGGUUGGCUACGUUCGGAAGGGAUAACCGCUGAAAGCAUCUAAGCGGGAAGCCUGCUCCAAGAUAAGCAUUCCGUGGAACCUUCGAGUUCCUGUAGUCCCCAUGCAGAACACGUGGUCGAUAGGCCGGACGUGGAAGCCCCGCGAGGGGUGGAGCCGACCGGUACUAACGGACGAAAGGCAACACUAA
RNAcentral lists this ribosomal RNA (977 nucleotides) under human gut metagenome. RNAcentral's name for it is "bacterial LSU rRNA". It matches the Rfam family "Bacterial large subunit ribosomal RNA", at positions 1953 to 2925 of the family's 2925-position model. The record is from RNAcentral.